UACGGAGGAUCCAAGCGUUAUCCGGAAUCAUUGGGUUUAAAGGGUCCGUAGGCGGGUUAUUAAGUCAGUGGUGAAAUCUUUCGGCUCAACCGGAAGCUUGCCUUUGAUACUGAUGGGCUUGAAUGUAGUUGAGGUGGGCGGAAUGUGACAAGUAGCGGUGAAAUGCAUAGAUAUGUCACAGAACACCGAUUGCGAAGGCAGCUCACUAAGCUAUGAUUGACGCUGAGGCUCGAAAGCGUGGGGAUCAAACAGG
RNAcentral lists this ribosomal RNA (253 nucleotides) under uncultured bacterium. RNAcentral's name for it is "partial 16S ribosomal RNA". It matches the Rfam family "Bacterial small subunit ribosomal RNA", at positions 524 to 776 of the family's 1533-position model. The record is from RNAcentral.